CCAAAAUGUUAUAAGACCAGCAGAAUUACUGCUCCCACCUUCUCACUUCCUCUUGAGGUUGACUUUGCUAGGGAUAGAAGAUUGAGCUGUGUUAAGAGAGAGAAACUUUGCCACGUCAGCCUUGAUUUCAUUGGAGACAAUGUUGAUAUGAAUCCAGAAUGGGAUUUGCUGUAGGAUUUAUUUGGCCUCAGAAGGUUCACGUCCUUUGACCUAUAGAGUCCUCUCAACACCAGCUGGAACUAGGAAAUGUAUUUGCAGGACAAAUAGGCAUGAAAGGAACAAAGAACUGGAUGCAAGGUGAGAACAGGACAUUCUGGUGCUAUACUUGGACUGCAGAAUAUCUUUUGAAAUUAGAAACCUGAUGUUCAAAUACAGCAAAUUUUUUAGUGGUGAAGCUU
Long non-coding RNA from Passer domesticus (house sparrow), 398 nucleotides. RefSeq lists it as uncharacterized. The transcript is spliced from 4 exons. The record is from RefSeq and is a predicted model, not a curated record. Lineage: Eukaryota; Metazoa; Chordata; Aves; Passeriformes; Passeridae.